AAGCAGGGGACCGCAAGGCCUUGUGCUCCUGGAGCGGCCGAUAUCUGAUUAGCUAGUUGGUGGGGUAAAGGCCCACCAAGGCAUCGAUCAGUAGCUGGUCUGAGAGGACGACCAGCCACACUGGAACUGAGACACGGUCCAGACUCCUACGGGAGGCAGCAGUGGGGAAUUUUGGACAAUGGGCGCAAGCCUGAUCCAGCAAUGCCGCGUGAGUGAAGAAGGCCUUCGGGUUGUAAAGCUCUUUUGUCAGGGAAGAAACGGCCGUUUCUAAUACAGAUGGCUAAUGACGGUACCUGAAGAAUAAGCACCGGCUAACUACGUGCCAGCAGCCGCGGUAAUACGUAGGGUGCAAGCGUUAAUCGGAAUUACUGGGCGUAAAGCGUGCGCAGGCGGUUUUGUAAGUCUGUCGUGAAAUCCCCGGGCUCAACCUGGGAAUGGCGAUGGAGACUGCAAGGCUAGAGUUUGGCAGAGGGGGGUAGAAUUCCACGUGUAGCAGUGAAAUGCGUAGAUAUGUGGAGGAACACCGAUGGCGAAGGCAGCCCCCUGGGUCAAAACUGACGCUCAUGCACGAAAGCGUGGGGAGCAAACAGGAUUAGAUACCCUGGUAGUCCACGCCCUAAACGAUGUCUACUAGUUGUCGGGUCUUAAUUGACUUGGUAACGCAGCUAACGCGUGAAGUAGACCGCCUGGGGAGUACGGUCGCAAGAUUAAAACUCAAAGGAAUUGACGGGGACCCGCACAAGCGGUGGAUGAUGUGGAUUAAUUCGAUGCAACGCGAAAAACCUUACCUACCCUUGACAUGGAAGGAAUCCCGGAGAGAUUUGGGAGUGCCCGAAAGGGAACCUUUACACAGGUGCUGCAUGGCUGUCGUCAGCUCGUGUCGUGAGAUGUUGGGUUAAGUCCCGCAACGAGCGCAACCCUUGUCAUUAGUUGCUACGAAAGAGCACUCUAAUGAGACUGCCGGUGACAAACCGGAGGAAGGUGGGGAUGACGUCAAGUCCUCAUGGCCCUUAUGGGUAGGGCUUCACACGUCAUACAAUGGUACAUACAGAGGGCCGCCAACCCGCGAGGGGGAGCUAAUCCCAGAAAGUGUAUCGUAGUCCGGAUUGUAGUCUGCAACUCGACUGCAUGAAGUUGGAAUCGCUAGUAAUCGCGGAUCAGCAUGUCGCGGUGAAUACGUUCCCGGGUCUUGUACACACCGCCCGUCACACCAUGGGAGCGGGUUUUACCAGAAGUAGGUAGCUUAACCGUAAGGAGGGCGCUUACCACGGUAGGAUUCGUGACUGGGGUGAAGUCGUAACAAGGUAGCCGUAUCGGAAGGUGCGGCUG
This 1329-nucleotide ribosomal RNA is filed under the name metagenome. Its description in RNAcentral is "bacterial SSU rRNA". It matches the Rfam family "Bacterial small subunit ribosomal RNA", at positions 202 to 1520 of the family's 1533-position model. The record is from RNAcentral.